CCCUGCUGUAUAGUCCAAAACCACUGCACGAUGUCUCUGUGCACCAAAUACUGGCGAGAUGGCACCGUGUUGAAAAGUCCAAACAGUGUCUGUGAGUUAAAAUGGCCGCCAUCCAUUGUUCCCACCAUGUGCUUCUGAUACAGGAAAUGGUGGCCACCCAGUAACUCCACAGUAUGUCCCCAGAUGCUUCUUAAAGGGCCAGCAGCAGCACAACACAAAUCCAUUAUGCCCAAAUCAUGUCUUUAAAGGGCAAUACAUCCCAGGGGCCGUAGUCACAGGGCAAGAGGCGGGCAAGCAGUCCUCUCCAGGCACAAGUGGCGAAGGGCACUUCGUCACACAUCUUCCCUUUGGGGGGAAGACUAAACAGGUGCCUGACCUUCUGCCGGUCAGUACCUAGAUUAGUCGGGCAGCCCAC
Molecule: non-coding RNA, 415 nt
Organism: Pelobates cultripes (western spadefoot toad)
Lineage: Eukaryota; Metazoa; Chordata; Amphibia; Anura; Pelobatidae
Source: the annotation of a GenBank genome assembly